Long non-coding RNA from Papaver somniferum (opium poppy), 2261 nucleotides. RefSeq lists it as uncharacterized. The record is from RefSeq and is a predicted model, not a curated record. The transcript is spliced from 10 exons. NCBI's taxonomy places the organism in Eukaryota, Viridiplantae, Streptophyta, Magnoliopsida, Ranunculales, Papaveraceae.
CAGAAGCGAACCAUUUCAUCUCUUUCCACUCAAACCACUUCUCUCUUUCCACUUUCCUCAUCUCUGCAUAAGCGAAGUUAGAGUUUCAGGCUACACGUGAAGUUUGGGUUUCAGUUUGAUGGUUUCGAUCUGAAGCUGAUGAUUUGUUGAAGCCAAGGAUGGAACUAUAUCUGUUGCCACUGUAUUUUUUAGUUACCCAGAAGGUAAUGCUGCAUCGUUUUAGUUAGGUGUCGAAGUGAUUAAGACGUUAACGACUGAUUGUAGUGCUGGUGGUGAUGCCAUCUCCUAGACUGCCAGGCUGACUCCAUCGACCGACAGUAAUGUUGUAAUGACAUUUCUCCCCAAAGACUGCGGCUUUGAAUAUCUGGUGCAACAAUAUGUUUUUAAUACUAUGUUACAAGUGAAGCGAAGUGAAGAUGUUAGUCAUGUAUGGUUUGACCUUGAAGUCAUAUGGGGAUGUAUUUUCUUGUUGGACUAUUUUGAAUGAGACUUUUCUGUCCAGUUCUAUUAGCUGCUAUGCUGUAAUGCAAAUAAAAAUCCAUGAGCAUAUAAUAUAUUGGCAAUUUAAUAUCCUUUGCACCUAGGAAAUACCCCCAAGGUAUAUUUCUAUAUUAUCUCUAGUGGGAGUAGUAAAUUUCCUUGUAUUUAUGAUGAUGUAUUUAAAUUCUCUCUUGUUUCUAUUUGCUUCAAACAACUAUACAAGACAAGGACCAUGAAUUCGUAACAAAAGCAGUUGAAGAAGCAUACAAAGGAGUGGAUAAUGAAGAUGGAGGCCCUUUCGGUGCAGUCGUUGUUCGCAAUAAUAAAGUAGUUUUGAGAUGCCACAACAUGGUUUUGAAGCAUACUGAUCCUAAUGCCCAUGUUGAGGUGACGGCAAUAAGAGAGGCGGAAGAAGGCCAGCUUGAUUAUAUUGGCAGAAUAGUUGAGUUCUUUGGGACCAUUAAGAAAAAGCCAUACAUCACUGUGAAGUGGUUCUUCAGAGCUGCAGACACGGCAAUUCUGUUAGGAAUACUCACAUCUCUUUUGAUUGAGUUAUGUAAAUUUUGUGUGUUUUCAGGUAAUUAAAGAGCAUUCUGGUAAAAUUGAACCGAAACGUGAACGUGUAUUUUCUUCGGACUCUAAAGAUGCCAAUCCACUGAAUUUUAUUGUUCAAAAAGUGACAGUUGCUCAAGCGUCCACAAAUGUCCCUGAAUGUGAUUUCUUUUAUGAUGUCAUACUCAGAUGAGUUUUGCACAUUCGAAAACUUGCGCAUAGAAAAUGGACAGGAUGCCGCUGCUUCAUCAUCAUCUAUGAUUUCUGGUGAAGGUAGCUCAGAAGUGGUCAAGGAAGCUGCUUCAUCAUCAUCCAAGACGCGUUCCUUAGCGUGUGGUUCUGAGGUUAUGACGCUUCUUGAUAUGUAUGCCGGCUGUGGGGGGAUGUCCACUGGCCAAUGCAUGGGCGCAGCUGCAUCAUAUGUGAGCCUGGUUACGAUAUGGGCAGUAAAGAUGCCUGUGAGAGUCUUCAGUUCAAUCACCCUGAAACACAGGUGAGAAACAUGAAAGCUGAGGACUUCUUGCAAUUGUUGAAAGAAUGGUACCGGCUUUGUGGAGAAUACCUUUUGUUGGGAACUGAUUUUCCCAAACCUGGAGUACCAAUUGAGCACGAACAGAAUGAAGAAACUGAAGAAGAGGCGCAAAUGCGUCCUCCAGAAGACAAUGGUGAAUAUGAAGUUCAGAAGGUCAUAGGCAUUCAUUAUGGAAUAUGGAGCUAAUCCUGACACGGAUGAAGGGCCUGCUUCCUUACACUAUAAGGCGAAGUGGAAGGGGUGGGGUUCUGAUUGGGAUUCAUGGGAGCCUGUAUCUAACCUUAAGAAUUUCAAGGGUUGCAUUAAGGAUUUUGUUGCCAAAGGUUACAAAUCCCACAUACUUCCGCUACCUGUUUGAUGAAGGAUCUGUGGGAUGGAUGGAAUGUGAUGAUGGUUUGAUAAUAAUGCUUCGUUCUUGGAAGAAAUGUCUCGUGCAAGAGCAAUGGGCAUUGAAAUUAAUGCAUAGGUGCUGCGGCAUUGGAUUCCAUCGGCUUCACCAAUUCUGCUUCAAAUGUGAAGGAAAAUACUGAUUAUGUGAGUCAUGUAUCUGUUGGUUUAUUCUUAUCUCAUAUACCCUAGGAAUAAAACUUAGGAAUUGUGCAAUAGAAUAAAACUUAGGGAUUGUAUUUCAAGUUCCGAACCAAUUCAAAUGUAGAAAGAACAGAAGUUAUUGUUAAUAAAGGAAGUUAUUGUUGAA